Long non-coding RNA from Zingiber officinale, 937 nucleotides. RefSeq lists it as uncharacterized. The record is from RefSeq and is a predicted model, not a curated record. NCBI's taxonomy places the organism in Eukaryota, Viridiplantae, Streptophyta, Magnoliopsida, Zingiberales, Zingiberaceae. The transcript is spliced from 2 exons.
AAGGAAAGCUACAAUUCAAGAUUCAUUUGAAUAUUUGGCACACUUACAGAGUUGUGAGAUUUUGAAGUCCAGAUGAGAACCAAGAUGGAGCCUCUGAAGGAUCAAAUGAGUUGUUGCUCAAGUCCCUGUAAAUGAAAUCAGAUUGUAGAGGGCAUGCAUUCCAGUCAUAUUUGGUAUCAUUCCUGUUAGCUCGUUGUUUGCAAAGUUUCUAGGACAAAGGCAAGCAAGGAUCAGUUUCUCAAGCUCAGAAGUUAUUUGAUCUCAUUGAUUCCAGAAAUCACUUACAGCACUUUGAGUCUUGUCAGAUUGCUGAUACUUUGAGGAACUGGUCCAAUCAAAUUAUUGCGGUCUAGCCGUCUAAGAAAAGCGCAAGAAAGAUAUAAACAAAUAGUUUGAUGCAAAGGAAAUUAAUAGCAAGCACUCACAAAACUUCGAGUUUCUGAAGAAGUCCAAUUGAUUCUGGAAUAACCCCAGAAAGAUUAUUGCUGUCAAGCAGUCUGAAUGCAAACAACAAGUUAGUAUGCAGAGAGCCUAUUACAAGGAAGCUUCAGGUGGCAAUAGAGCUGAUACAUCUUACAUAUGUUUAACAUUCAUGCUAGAGCUGAAAAGGCUCAGUGGAAUUGGACCUGAGAGAUAAUUCUUGUUCAAGUGGCUGAUAAGAACAUAUUUCAUCAUCGUUAAUUCUUCACCGCGUAAGUUUUUUAUUUGAUCAUGCAUGGAAAACUGAGGCUUACAAGUGCUGAGCGUGAGCCAGCUGAUCUAAACCUGAACCUUCAGUUGCUGAAAUCGGGAUGCUUCCAUUUAAUUGAUUGUUUGCCAGGUCUAGCCAUACGAGGUCGGCGAGCCUACCCAGGGAUGCAGGUAUUCUACCAGUAAAAUGGUUUGCAUUUAAUGAUCUGUGACACAGGUUUAGGUGGGAAUCAUCAGACUCUUGUUC